GUUUACAUUGCAAGUCGAACGGAAACGAAAAUAGCUUGCUAUUUGGCGUCGAGUGGCGAACGGGUGAGUAACGCGUAGGAAUCUACCCAGUAGAGGGGGAUAGCCCGAAGAAAUUCGGAUUAAUACCGCAUAAUCUCUACGGAGUAAAGAAGGCCUCUUUACAAUGCUUUUACUAUUGGAUGAGCCUGCGUUAGAUUAGUUAGUUGGUAGGGUAAAAGCCUACCAAGGCGACGAUCUAUAGCUGGUUUUACGAGAAUGAUCAGCCACACUGGAACUGAGACACGGUCCAGACUCCUACGGGAGGCAGCAGUGAAGAAUAUUGGACAAUGGGGGAAACCCUGAUCCAGCAAUGUUGCGUGUGUGAAGAAGGUCCGAGGAUUGUAAAGCACUUUCAGUAAGCAAGAAAAAUGUAAAUCUAAUAGAUUUGCAUGUUGACCACUUAUAGAAGAAGCACCGGCUAACUCCGUGCCAGCAGCCGCGGUAAUACGGAGGGUGCGAGCGUUAAUCGGAAUUACUGGGCGUAAAGGGUAAGUAGGCGGUUUAUAAAGUCACAUGUGAAAGCCCUAGGCUUAACCUAGGA
Molecule: ribosomal RNA, 580 nt
Filed under: uncultured bacterium
Lineage: Bacteria
Description: bacterial SSU rRNA
Rfam family: Bacterial small subunit ribosomal RNA
Source: RNAcentral